Oryzias melastigma (Indian medaka) is the source of this 1635-nucleotide long non-coding RNA. RefSeq lists it as uncharacterized. The transcript is spliced from 4 exons. The record is from RefSeq and is a predicted model, not a curated record. NCBI's taxonomy places the organism in Eukaryota, Metazoa, Chordata, Actinopteri, Beloniformes, Adrianichthyidae.
AAGCAAAGCUUUUUUAUUAUUGUUAUCAAUAGACAUACUUUUAAAGAAUCAAUUAUCAGAUAAUCUGAGAAAUAUUUUAAAACAUUACUUUGAAAAUGCUUCUUUUCUUGGAGAUGUAUCCAUAUUGCUCCACUUAUACUUUGCUUCACAGCUUUUUAACAUAAAAAGUUAUAUUUAGGAGGUAUUUCAGUAAACGUCUCACUUCUUUCCCUGUUGAAAUGAUACUAAACUGUUUUUCUUUUGAGCUACAAUCAAAUCAAAGUCUAGUGUGAGAAGGAGGAGGGAAAAAAGGCACGCAUGGAAGCACAGGCAGGUGGAGAACAGCUAAAAAAAAUUGGAACUGUGAAACAUGGUUGUGUUGCCAAACCCUGACAAAAGGAUUAACUGCAUGGUUCUGAAAGAACCUUUUUAAGUCCUUCGCUCUGGAAUCAUAAGGCAAUAAAUAGUUUGUCUAACUCUGUCGUUCUCUUGGCAGCAUGCGAAAGAAAGGACGUGGAAAUGCAGUUGUAUCCGAACACUUUUCUGUCUUGCCUCAUCACUGUGGCCUUGUUUCUUUUGGGUGAACAAAAAACUCAGUUGGACUGACAAAUAUCUGCUUCAUCUCCAAGGCUAUCUGUUCUCAGGGCUGAGGAAACAGGAUAAUCUGCUCUGACAUACAGGCCUUCACCUACAGGGGGAGCUCUUUGGAGGGUAAAAGAUAAUCAAUGGAUAUGGGACAAAACUACUUUUGAGAAGAUUUUUAACUGUACAAAAGGGAGUAGUAAAAAGUAUUUAAAAAACUCAAAAGUACACAUUCUGCUUUGAAAGAUGAUCUUCUGAACCUGUGGUUGAGCCUUGCAAGGUGAGGUAGUAGGUUGUAUAGUUUUGGGCAUACAUUGCUCCUGUUAAAUAACUAUACAGUUUAUUACCUUUCUUGAGAGGCACAGUAAUUGCUUGGAAAAUUAUGACACUAUAUCGCCAUCGUGUGGCCUAAGAGUAGAACAACACUUCAAAUGAUUUGUGUUUCCUUUGUAGCUCUAAUGCGAAAAACUUAAACCUGUUAUGUUUAUCUGUUGUUUUGAUGACUCAGCUUUUUACUUUUGUCUUUUGUGUCCUGAUACAAACCCAAACCACAUAUUUCUAUUUGAAAAUGACAAUUAAAAACACCUUAAGUGCACAAACCAGUUGAGUUUUUCUUUCUUCACAGAAUAAAAUUUUACUUUGACUCUUCUUCUUUUUUUACACAUUUUUGCAUAUUUGGCUUCGUCUUUCUCUACAGUUUACUAGCGCAUGUCUACCACCAAUAGUUGGUGUGAAAUCUUGAAGUAAUAUGAAUCUUGCUUCAACCUUUUUUUCUUUCACAGCUCUAUUCUGAUAUAUGAAAGAAUUUGGGUCUCAUAACUCCAGCCGGGCCCCAAUUAGAAAUUUAUCUUCCGUGAUCAAUGUUCAAACAGUUGGCACUUCCGUGUUUUGUGUUGUACGUCACUACCAAAUCUGAGUCCCUGACUGGUCAAACUGGUUUAACUUUCAACGUACGUUAAAUUCCUAAAAGCAGUCAAAGAAACUUGCACAGCUACGUGUGAACACAAGAGUUUUUGUACGCUGAAGACUAAAACGUCCAUAUACGGGCGUUUACAUUAGGGGUGUAGGGAAAAA